UAGGGAAUCUUCCGCAAUGGGCGAAAGCCUGACGGAGCAACGCCGCGUGAGUGAUGAAGGUCUUCGGAUCGUAAAACUCUGUUAUUAGGGAAGAACAAAUGUGUAAGUAACUAUGCACGUCUUGACGGUACCUAAUCAGAAAGCCACGGCUAACUACGUGCCAGCAGCCGCGGUAAUACGUAGGUGGCAAGCGUUAUCCGGAAUUAUUGGGCGUAAAGCGCGCGUAGGCGGUUUUUUAAGUCUGAUGUGAAAGCCCACGGCUCAACCGUGGAGGGUCAUUGGAAACUGGAAAACUUGAGUGCAGAAGAGGAAAGUGGAAUUCCAUGUGUAGCGGUGAAAUGCGCAGAGAUAUGGAGGAACACCAGUGGCGAAGGCGACUUUCUGGUAUGUAACUGACGCUGAUGUGCGAAAGCGUGGGGAUCAAACAGG
Molecule: ribosomal RNA, 429 nt
Filed under: Actinomycetes bacterium
Lineage: Bacteria; Bacillati; Actinomycetota; Actinomycetes
Description: Actinobacteria bacterium partial 16S ribosomal RNA
Rfam family: Bacterial small subunit ribosomal RNA
Source: RNAcentral